RNAcentral lists this non-coding RNA (29 nucleotides) under Rattus norvegicus (Norway rat). The record is from RNAcentral. Lineage: Eukaryota; Metazoa; Chordata; Mammalia; Rodentia; Muridae.
UAGCUACAUGUGUGGAGUAUUGAUUAGAG